UUCGUCGAUAAGUUCGUCAGGCUCAGACGGCACUAAAAAAAUCAUCCAUAUCCAUUCGACUAUCAGCCUUUGGUGCGGCAAGACAUUUUGAAAUUCACAAUGGCUCAUUGGUACGCGAACAACAAAUACACCGAGGAAAUGAUGAAGGUGAUGCGAACUAAGGGCUUCAAACGGACCAUGAUGGGUGUGGUGAUUGGCUCGGUGGCCGGCUUGAUGGUUAUAAACUACAACAACAAGAGGCUCGGACAUAGCGAGACAAUUAAAAGACACUAACUUGUCAUGGGGUGUAUUUUAGCUGAGCAAAUUUUUGCUUAACGGCUUAUAAUCAAGAUGAAUGACUGAAGAUGGAA
This is a long non-coding RNA of Daphnia pulex (common water flea), 350 nucleotides long. RefSeq lists it as uncharacterized. The transcript has 3 exons. Lineage: Eukaryota; Metazoa; Arthropoda; Branchiopoda; Diplostraca; Daphniidae. The record is from RefSeq and is a predicted model, not a curated record.